RNAcentral lists this transfer RNA (879 nucleotides) under uncultured Bartonella sp. RNAcentral's name for it is "partial 16S-23S ribosomal RNA intergenic spacer". The stretch from base 89 to 162 matches the Rfam family "tRNA". The record is from RNAcentral. Lineage: Bacteria; Pseudomonadati; Pseudomonadota; Alphaproteobacteria; Hyphomicrobiales; Bartonellaceae.
AUCUGUUUGCACAAGCCUCUGAGAGGGAUGAAGAUAUUGUUUUCUUUGAUCAGAUUAUGCCGGUAAAGGUUUUCUGGUUUACCCUAUAGGGCUUGUAGCUCAGUUGGUUAGAGCGCGCGCUUGAUAAGCGUGAGGUCGGAGGUUCAAGUCCUCCCAGGCCCACCAGUUACACGAUGCUAAAAGUUGCUAUAUUGGGAGAGUUGAUAAUCCCUUACAGGAAAUUAUUGCCCUUAAUAAAACUUUAUUUUCUAAAAGCAUUCAGAGCUGACAUAGAAUAGAGCUGACAUAGAAUUGAGAAUCUGACAUAGGAAUUAUUGAAAUUGUUUUGGAAUUAUUGAAAUUGUUUUCUAUCAUUUUAAAAGGCUAAAAUAUUCUGUCUCUAUUUUUAAAAUAGCAUCAGGUGUUUUGUAAGAGUGUGAAGUUUUUAAGUGUGAGGUUUUUUAUAUUUUAGUGUGAGGUUUUUAUAAGGGUAUGACGUGAGAGCGUUUUGACCUGUUUUAGGGGCCGUAGCUCAGCUGGGAGAGCACCUGCUUUGCAAGCAGGGGGUCGUCGGUUCGAUCCCGUCCGGCUCCACCAUAAUUUGGUUCAUCAUUAUUGUUAGAAGAAUAGUUAUUGCAAGAGAUUGAGAGAUCUCUUUGCUUGUUCUAUUGAAAUUGUGAAGAAGAAGGUAUAUUCAGACGUUUUUUGCUUGAACUCAUUCUUAUGAAAGAGAUUUUUCUUAUGAAAGAGAUUUUUAAGAAUGGAUAGCUUAAAAAGAAGAAUGGAUGGCUUAAAAAGGUGGCUUAAAAAGAUGGCUGUUUUUAAAUGAAAAUAGUUAUUUUUACGCUCUUUUGACGAUUGUUACAACAUUAUACGAUUAAAACAUUAUACGAUAAUGAU